RNAcentral lists this ribosomal RNA (253 nucleotides) under uncultured bacterium. RNAcentral's name for it is "partial 16S ribosomal RNA". It matches the Rfam family "Bacterial small subunit ribosomal RNA", at positions 524 to 776 of the family's 1533-position model. The record is from RNAcentral.
UACGUAGGGUGCUAGCGUUGUCCGGAAUUAUGGGGCGUAAAGAGCUUGUAGGCGGUCUGUCGCGUCUGCUGUGAAAAUCCGGGGCUCAACCCCGGACUUGCAGUGGGUACGGGCAGACUAGAGUGUGGUAGGGGAGACUGGAAUUCCUGGUGUAGCGGUGAAAUGCGCAGAUAUCAGGAGGAACACCGAUGGCGAAGGCAGGUCUCUGGGCCACUACUGACGCUGAGAAGCGAAAGCAUGGGGAGCGAACAGG